Molecule: non-coding RNA, 149 nt
Organism: Podarcis lilfordi (Lilford's wall lizard)
Lineage: Eukaryota; Metazoa; Chordata; Lepidosauria; Squamata; Lacertidae
Source: the annotation of a GenBank genome assembly
GGGGACCUACCGUGCCAUACUAGCCCAGCUGAAGCAGAGAAGUAACCAUCUGAACUGGAGACCUACUGGAUCCCUGGUUCCCCACUGGAUCUCUGGUUCAAAUGGUUAGUUCCCACCUCAGCUGGGCUAGUAUGUCAGUGUAAGUCCCC